RNAcentral lists this ribosomal RNA (436 nucleotides) under uncultured Rhodocyclaceae bacterium. RNAcentral's name for it is "bacterial SSU rRNA". It matches the Rfam family "Bacterial small subunit ribosomal RNA", at positions 945 to 1382 of the family's 1533-position model. Lineage: Bacteria; Pseudomonadati; Pseudomonadota; Betaproteobacteria; Rhodocyclales; Rhodocyclaceae. The record is from RNAcentral.
AUUAAUUCGAUGCAACGCGAAAACCUUACUACCCUUGACAUGUCCGGAAUCCCGAAGAGAUUUGGGAGUGCUCGCAAGAGAGCCGGAACACAGGUGCUGCAUGGCUGUCGUCAGCUCGUGUCGUGAGAUGUUGGGUUAAGUCCCGCAACGAGCGCAACCCUUGUCAUUAGUUGCCAUCAUUUGGUUGGGCACUCUAAUGAGACUGCCGGUGACAAACCGGAGGAAGGUGGGGAUGACGUCAAGUCCUCAUGGCCCUUAUGGGUAGGGCUUCACACGUCAUACAAUGGUCGGUACAGAGGGUUGCCAACCCGCGAGGGGGAGCUAAUCCCACAAAGCCGAUCGUAGUCCGGAUCGCAGUCUGCAACUCGACUGCGUGAAGUCGGAAUCGCUAGUAAUCGUGGAUCAGCAUGUCACGGUGAAUACGUUCCCGGGUCUU